Molecule: ribosomal RNA, 200 nt
Filed under: uncultured bacterium
Lineage: Bacteria
Description: partial 16S ribosomal RNA
Rfam family: Bacterial small subunit ribosomal RNA
Source: RNAcentral
AGAGUUUGAUCCUGGCUCAGAACGAACGCUGGCGGCAUGCCUAACACAUGCAAGUCGAACGCUUUGAGGGAUUUCGGUCCCUUGAGGAGUGGCGCACGGGUGAGUAGCGCGUGGGAACCUGCCUUUCAGUGGGGGAUAACCGCGGGAAACUGCGGCUAAUACCGCAUACGCCGGGAAACCGGGAAAGAUUUAUCGCUGAG